Long non-coding RNA from Neofelis nebulosa (Clouded leopard), 649 nucleotides. RefSeq lists it as uncharacterized. Lineage: Eukaryota; Metazoa; Chordata; Mammalia; Carnivora; Felidae. The transcript has 3 exons. The record is from RefSeq and is a predicted model, not a curated record.
CUAAGUGAGAGAGACUCUGUAUGUAGGGAUGGUGGACAUGGGCAACGCUGAGGCACAGGAGGUCUAUUGGGGAACCAGAGUCAAGGUCCUGAUAGGAGGAAAAGAGGCCUGAGCCCCACAGGGGUGGGAUGAGCGGGCCCAGGCUAGGGAGAUACUGAGGAAGCCAGUGCCCUAGAACUCGGUAACUGGCAGUCCCUGGGGAGUUAAGGAGCCAGCAGGACACCCAGAUUCUAGCCUGAGUCCCGGUAGAUGGUACACCCUCCAGUCCCCACAAGCUGGGGCAGGUUGGGGGAGCGGUGGUGAGUCAGGGAGGAGCAGCUGAGGGGCUCCUGGAAGAAAGGAGGAAGGUGUCUCAGAGACACCUCUGCUGCCCCCCCUGCCCUGGGGUCUAGGACAACCUCCACCCCAGUCGGGCUCGGUGUCUGCCUCCCCGUGGGCUGCGAGGACUGAACGAGAGCGAUGCCCUUCCCCACAAAUCUGACACCCAUCAAGGCUUUCCUGCCCCUGGGACUCACACCUGUCUGAGAUCAGGGGACACUCUGAACCUUGGAAGCUAUCGCCUCCAUCUAUCAUUUGUAAGAGGAUGACAAGUAACACUAUCAAAACGUAACCUGAUCAGUUACAAUAAAAAGGCCAUUGGGAGACCGGA